RNAcentral lists this ribosomal RNA (497 nucleotides) under uncultured bacterium. RNAcentral describes it as "partial 16S ribosomal RNA". It matches the Rfam family "Bacterial small subunit ribosomal RNA", at positions 28 to 507 of the family's 1533-position model. The record is from RNAcentral.
GAUGAACGCUGGCGGCGUGCCUAAUACAUGCAAGUCGAGCGAACGGACGAGAAGCUUGCUUCUCUGAUGUUAGCGGCGGACGGGUGAGUAACACGUGGAUAACCUACCUAUAAGACUGGGAUAACUUCGGGAAACCGGAGCUAAUACCGGAUAAUAUUUUGAACCGCAUGGUUCAAAAGUGAAAGACGGUCUUGCUGUCACUUAUAGAUGGAUCCGCGCUGCAUUAGCUAGUUGGUAAGGUAAGGGCUUACCAAGGCAACGAUGCAUAGCCGACCUGAGAGGGUGAUCGGCCACACUGGAACUGAGACACGGUCCAGACUCCUACGGGAGGCAGCAGUAGGGAAUCUUCCGCAAUGGGCGAAAGCCUGACGGAGCAACGCCGCGUGAGUGAUGAAGGUCUUCGGAUCGUAAAACUCUGUUAUUAGGGAAGAACAUAUGUGUAAGUAACUGUGCACAUCUUGACGGUACCUAAUCAGAAAGCCACGGCUAACUACGUG